UAGUAGGGAAAGGAAACUGGACGACCUUCGGGAGCUUGUACAGGUGCUGCAUGGCUGUCGUCAGCUCGUGUCGUGAGAUGUUCGGUUAAGUCCGCUAACGAGCGCAACCCUCGCUGUGUGUUACAAGUGUCACACGGAACUGCCGGUCAUAAACCGGAGGAAGGUGGGGAUGACGUCAAGUCAGCAUGGCCUUUAUAUCCUGGGCUACACACACGCUACAAUGGGAAGGGACAAUAGGUUGCGAAGCCGCGAGGCGGAGCCAAUCCAGCAAAACUUCCCUCAGUUCAGAUUGCAGGCUGCAACCCGCCUGCAUGAAGUUGGAGUUGCUAGUAAACGCAGGUCAGCCAUACUGCGUUGAAUACGUUCCCGGGGCUU
This 375-nucleotide ribosomal RNA is filed under the name uncultured Anaerolineaceae bacterium. RNAcentral describes it as "bacterial SSU rRNA". It matches the Rfam family "Bacterial small subunit ribosomal RNA", at positions 993 to 1382 of the family's 1533-position model. The record is from RNAcentral. Lineage: Bacteria; Bacillati; Chloroflexota; Anaerolineae; Anaerolineales; Anaerolineaceae.